This 775-nucleotide ribosomal RNA is filed under the name uncultured Neocallimastigales. RNAcentral describes it as "partial large subunit ribosomal RNA". It matches the Rfam family "Eukaryotic large subunit ribosomal RNA", at positions 26 to 635 of the family's 3401-position model. Lineage: Eukaryota; Fungi; Neocallimastigomycota; Neocallimastigomycetes; Neocallimastigales. The record is from RNAcentral.
CGCAUCUGUGCAUGCAGCAUAUCAAUAAGCGGAGGAAAAGAAACUAACAAGGAUUCCCCUAGUAACGGCGAGUGAAGCGGGAAGAGCUCAAAUUUGAAAUCUUAAAGGGUUUCCCUUUACGAAUUGUAGUUUAAAGAAGUGUUUUCUGUUGAGGUUUUGGUAAAAGUUCUUUGGAAUAGGACAUCAUAGAGGGUGAGAAUCCCGUAUUUGACCUUUACUUUCAACUUUGUGAUACACUUUCAAAGAGUCGGAUUGUUUGGGAAUGCAGUCCAAAAUGGGUGGUAAAUUUCAUCUAAAGCUAAAUAUUGGCGAGAGACCGAUAGCGAACAAGUACCGUGAGGGAAAGAUGAAAAGAACUUUGAAAAGAGAGUUAAACAGUACGUGAAAUUGUCAAAAGGGAAGCGUUUGACACCAGUGUUGUUUUUCUGAAAAUCAAUUAAAGAACUGUUUAUGCUAAGCUGUUUAGACUUUAUCAGCUAAUCUGUUUAGUUUUGAGCUUUUCUUUAAUGCACUUUUCAGUUAACAAGUCAACAUCAAUUUCUUUUGCUGUAAAAAAGCUUGAGGAAGGUGGCUUGAGAUUCGUCUUAAGUGUUUAUAGCCUCUUGCCUAUGCAGUCGGAGAGAUUGAGGUCUGCAGCGUAGAUCCUUCGGGGCUAAAUGCAUUUGUGCUAAGUUAUAACAUUUUAUAGACAACUUGUUGACUAUGAUUUGUCUUGUAGCUUACUCGCUUAUGUUAUUUUACCUACGCUUAGGAUGUUGAACGCGCACAGAGUCUC